GGUUAAGUUAGAAAGGGCGCACGGUGGAUGCCUUGGCACUAGGAGCCGAUGAAGGACGGGACGAACACCGAUAUGCUUCGGGGAGCUGUAAGCAAGCUUUGAUCCGGAGAUUUCCGAAUGGGGAAACCCACCACUCGUAAUGGAGUGGUAUCCAUAUCUGAAUACAUAGGAUAUGAGAAGGCAGACCCGGGGAACUGAAACAUCUAAGUACCCGGAGGAAGAGAAAGCAAAUGCGAUUCCCUGAGUAGCGGCGAGCGAAACGGGACCAGCCCAAACCAAGAGGCUUGCCUCUUGGGGUUGUAGGACACUCUGUACGGAGUUACAAAGGAACGAGGUAGAUGAAGAGGUCUGGAAAGGCCCGCCAUAGAAGGUAACAGCCCUGUAGUCAAAACUUCGUUCUCUCCUGAGUGGAUCCUGAGUACGGCGGAACACGUGAAAUUCCGUCGGAAUCCGGGAGGACCAUCUCCCAAGGCUAAAUACUCCCUAGUGACCGAUAGUGAACCAGUACCGUGAGGGAAAGGUGAAAAGCACCCCGGAAGGGGAGUGAAAGAGAUCCUGAAACCGUGUGCCUACAAGUAGUCAGAGCCCGUUAACGGGUGAUGGCGUGCCUUUUGUAGAAUGAACCGGCGAGUUACGAUCCCGUGCAAGGUUAAGCAGAAGAUGCGGAGCCGCAGCGAAAGCGAGUCUGAAUAGGGCGAAUUGAGUACGUGGUCGUAGACCCGAAACCAGGUGAUCUACCCAUGUCCAGGGUGAAGUUCAGGUAACACUGAAUGGAGGCCCGAACCCACGCACGUUGAAAAGUGCGGGGAUGAGGUGUGGGUAGGGGUGAAAUGCCAAUCGAACCUGGAGAUAGCUGGUUCUCUCCGAAAUAGCUUUAGGGCUAGCCUCAAGGUAAGAGUCUCGGAGGUAGAGCACUGAUUGGACUAGGGGCCCCUACCGGGUUACCGAAUUCAGUCAAACUCCGAAUGCCGAUGACUUAUCCUUGGGAGUCAGACUGCGAGUGAUAAGAUCCGUAGUCGAAAGGGAAACAGCCCAGACCGCCAGCUAAGGUCCCAAAGUAUACGUUAAGUGGAAAAGGAUGUGGAGUUGCUUAGACAACCAGGAUGUUGGCUUAGAAGCAGCCACCAUUUAAAGAGUGCGUAAUAGCUCACUGGUCGAGUGACUCUGCGCCGAAAAUGUACCGGGGCUAAACGUAUCACCGAAGCUGCGGACUGUUCUUCGAACAGUGGUAGGAGAGCGUUCUAAGGGCUGUGAAGCAAGACCGGAAGGACUUGUGGAGCGCUUAGAAGUGAGAAUGCCGGUAUGAGUAGCGAAAGAGGGGUGAGAAUCCCCUCCACCGAAUGCCUAAGGUUUCCUGAGGAAGGCUCGUCCGCUCAGGGUUAGUCGGGACCUAAGCCGAGGCCGAAAGGCGUAGGCGAUGGAUAACAGGUUGAUAUUCCUGUACCACCUCCUCACCAUUUGAGCAAUGGGGGGACGCAGGAGGAUAGGGUAAGCGCGGUAUUGGAUAUCCGCGUCCAAGCAGUUAGGCUGGGAAAUAGGCAAAUCCGUUUCCCGUGAAGGCUGAGCUGUGAUGGCGAGCGAAUUAUAGUAGCGAAGUUCCUGAUUCCACACUGCCAAGAAAAGCCUCUAGCGAGGUGAGAGGUGCCCGUACCGCAAACCGACACAGGUAGGCGAGGAGAGAAUCCUAAGGUGAUCGAGAGAACUCUCGUUAAGGAACUCGGCAAAAUGACCCCGUAACUUCGGGAGAAGGGGUGCUCUGUUAGGGUGCAAGCCCGAGAGAGCCGCAGUGAAUAGGCCCAGGCGACUGUUUAGCAAAAACACAGGUCUCUGCGAAGCCGUAAGGCGAAGUAUAGGGGCUGACGCCUGCCCGGUGCUGGAAGGUUAAGAGGAGCGCUUAGCGUAAGCGAAGGUGCGAAUUGAAGCCCCAGUAAACGGCGGCCGUAACUAUAACGGUCCUAAGGUAGCGAAAUUCCUUGUCGGGUAAGUUCCGACCCGCACGAAAGGCGCAACGAUCUGGGCACUGUCUCAACGAGAGACUCGGUGAAAUUAUAGUACCUGUGAAGAUGCAGGUUACCCGCGACAGGACGGAAAGACCCCGUGGAGCUUUACUGCAGCCUGAUAUUGAAUGUUGGUACAGCUUGUACAGGAUAGGUAGGAGCCUUGGAAACCGGAGCGCCAGCUUCGGUGGAGGCAUCGGUGGGAUACUACCCUGGCUGUAUUGACCUUCUAACCCGCCGCCCUUAUCGGGCGGGGAGACAGUGUCAGGUGGGCAGUUUGACUGGGGCGGUCGCCUCCUAAAAGGUAACGGAGGCGCCCAAAGGUUCCCUCAGAAUGGUUGGAAAUCAUUCGCAGAGUGUAAAGGCACAAGGGAGCUUGACUGCGAGACCUACAAGUCGAGCAGGGACGAAAGUCGGGCUUAGUGAUCCGGUGGUUCCGCAUGGAAGGGCCAUCGCUCAACGGAUAAAAGCUACCCCGGGGAUAACAGGCUUAUCUCCCCCAAGAGUCCACAUCGACGGGGAGGUUUGGCACCUCGAUGUCGGCUCAUCGCAUCCUGGGGCUGUAGUCGGUCCCAAGGGUUGGGCUGUUCGCCCAUUAAAGCGGUACGCGAGCUGGGUUCAGAACGUCGUGAGACAGUUCGGUCCCUAUCCGUCGCGGGCGCAGGAAAUUUGAGAGGAGCUGUCCUUAGUACGAGAGGACCGGGAUGGACGCACCGCUGGUGUACCAGUUGUUCUGCCAAGGGCAUCGCUGGGUAGCUAUGUGCGGACGGGAUAAGUGCUGAAAGCAUCUAAGCAUGAAGCCCCCCUCAAGAUGAGAUUUCCCAUUCCGCAAGGAAGUAAGAUCCCUGAAAGAUGAUCAGGUUGAUAGGUCUGAGGUGGAAGUGUGGCGACACAUGGAGCUGACAGAUACUAAUCGAUCGAGGACUUAACCAAUCG
Molecule: ribosomal RNA, 2933 nt
Filed under: Bacillus velezensis
Lineage: Bacteria; Bacillati; Bacillota; Bacilli; Caryophanales; Bacillaceae
Description: 23S ribosomal RNA
Rfam family: Bacterial large subunit ribosomal RNA
Source: RNAcentral